GGGGCUGGUGGGGGCUCCUGGGUCGUGAUCAGAUCAGCCCCAGAUGCCGUUCCUGCAGGUCAAGCCGUCAACGCUGAGCGAGUCACUCGUAAUGACCGGGUCGUCGGUCCGAUUCCGACAGACGGCUCCACCA
This 133-nucleotide transfer RNA is filed under the name Nocardioides agri. Its description in RNAcentral is "tRNA-Thr". Lineage: Bacteria; Bacillati; Actinomycetota; Actinomycetes; Propionibacteriales; Nocardioidaceae. The record is from RNAcentral.